UACGGAGGGUGCAAGCGUUGCUCGGAAUUAUUGGGCGUAAAGCGCGCGUAGGCGGCUAUCCACGUCGGGUGUGAAAGCCCUCGGCUCAACCGAGGAAGUGCAUUCGAAACGAGGUAGCUAGAGUCCUGGAGAGGGUAGCGGAAUUCCCGGUGUAGAGGUGAAAUUCGUAGAUAUCGGGAGGAACACCAGCGGCGAAGGCGGCUACCUGGACAGUGACUGACGCUGAGGCGCGAAAGCGUGGGGAGCAAACAGG
This 253-nucleotide ribosomal RNA is filed under the name uncultured bacterium. Its description in RNAcentral is "partial 16S ribosomal RNA". It matches the Rfam family "Bacterial small subunit ribosomal RNA", at positions 524 to 776 of the family's 1533-position model. The record is from RNAcentral.